This is a non-coding RNA of Vicugna pacos (alpaca), 3700 nucleotides long. Lineage: Eukaryota; Metazoa; Chordata; Mammalia; Artiodactyla; Camelidae. The record is from RefSeq and is a predicted model, not a curated record.
GCCUCACCACUCGCGGCCGCGGGGGAGUACAGGAGUGUGGUGCUGUGGGCGGGAACUGUGGCUGCCUGCUUUCCUGUCAGUCUCCCCUGUUAGACUGUUGUAAAGAAGAUGGGUUCAUCUGGAUGCAGGCUCCCUGUUUACUAGUUGUGGGUGAGAACAUUCUGGCUGCUGCCUCUGGUGAAAACAAGGUACAUUGUAACUGUCAUCAUCUUGGGAAUUCUGGCAUAUCAUAUAGGUCACCAGAUGUAUUGACAUGAGAGAUUAUUAAAACUUCUUGGAGAAACAUGAAAGACAAUUUGGGGCUAAUAGUCCCAAGGCCUUGGGAUGAAACCUAUAAGAAUGAAGAGGGAAAAUGCGGCCUCUACACUCUGGGAGGACGUGGCGUGUCACAGUGAGCACAGUACUCGCCCCAGGGUCAGAAAGGGUCAGAUGCCUAGCUGGUGUUCUGCUCUAUCAUCCUCUUCUUGGUGGAGAAAGGUCCCCAGGAGCAGAGCCCAGAGCCCAUAGACUGGAGGCUGAGCAUCACCGCCCUGGGUGCAGGCCUCCCUCACCUGCAGGGCCACUGGAGAAGCCCACUGUGGGAGAGACCCUGGAGUCCGGGCCCAGGACAGUCAGCAGGAGAUACCUGAGCUCCCUGAAGAACAAGCUGUCCAGUGGGGCCUGGAGGAAAUCUUGCCAGCCUGGGACCUGCCCCGGCCCAGGGAUGCAGGAGCCUGAGGAGAAGAGGAUCGUCCAGGAGCUGCUGGAGACAGAGCAGGCCUAUGUGGCACGCCUCCACCUGCUAGACCAGGUGUUCUUCCAGGAGCUGCUGAAGGAGGCCCGUAGCAGCAAGGCCUUCCCUGAGGAUGUGGUCAGACUCAUUUUCUCCAACAUCUCCUCCAUCUACCAGUUCCAUGCACAGUUCUUCCUCCCAGAGCUGCAGCAGCGGCUGGAUGACUGGACGACCACCCCCCGCAUUGGCGAUGUGAUCCAGAAGCUGGCCCCCUUCCUGAAAAUGUACAGUGAGUAUGUCAAGAACUUCGAGCGAGCCAUUGAGCUGCUGGCCACCUGGACUGACAAGUCUCUACCCUUCCAGGAGGUUCUCACCCGCAUUCAGAAUAGCGAGGCCUCAGGCAGCCUGACCUUGCAGCACCACAUGCUGGAACCUGUGCAGAGAAUCCCACGCUAUGAGCUUCUGCUCAAGGAAUACGUCCAGAAGCUGCCAGCCCAGGCCCCAGACCUGGCCGAUGCACAGAAAGCACUCGACAUGAUCUUCUCAGCUGCUCAGCAUUCCAACACAGCCAUCACUGAGAUGGAGCGGCUGCAGGAACUAUGGGAGGUGUACCAGCGCCUGGGCCUGGAGGACGACAUAGUAGACCCCUCCAACACCCUGCUCCGAGAGGGCCCUGUCCUCAAGAUCUCCUUCCGUCGCAGCGGCCCCAUGGAGCGCUACCUUUUCUUGUUCAACAACAUGCUGCUGUACUGUGUGCCCAGGGUCAUUCAGGUGGGCGCCCACUUCCAGGUCAGGACCCGCAUUGACGUGGCCGGGAUGAAGGUGCGGGAGCUGACUGAUGCCGAGUUCCCCCACUCCUUCCUGGUGUCCGGGAAGCAGCGCACCCUGGAGCUGCAGGCCCGGUCCCAGGAGGAAAUGAUCUCCUGGAUGCAGGCCUUCCAAGCAGCCAUUGACCAAAUCGAGAAGCGGAAUGAAACCUUCAAGGCUGCAGUCCAGAGCCCUGGGGGAGACCCUCAGGAGCAGGAGCUGCAGUCCGAGGAGCUAGGCCUCCGAGCGCCACAGUGGGUCCGGGACAAGAUGGUGACCAUGUGCAUGCGCUGCCGAGAGCCCUUCAACGCCCUGAAGCGCCGUCGCCACCACUGCCGGGCCUGCGGCUAUGUGGUGUGUGCCAGGUGCUCCGACUACCGGGCUGAGCUCAAAUACGACAGCAACAGGCCCAACCGAGUCUGCUUGGACUGCUAUACCUUCCUCACUGGAAACGUGCUCCCUGAGGACAAGGAAGACAAGAGACGGGGCAUCCUGGAGAAAGGAUCUGCGGCAGGGUCCGAGCAGAGCCUAAUGUGCAGCUUCCUGCAGCUCGUCGGGGACAAGUGGGGCAAGAGCGGGCCCCGGGGCUGGUGUGUGAUCCCCCGGGACGACCCCCUUGUACUCUAUGUCUAUGCUGCCCCUCAGGUAACUCACACUGCAAAAGCCAGUGGCUAUGUCACGAGGAUACUCAAGCAGCUCUGUGGAGAGGUCCAUGUGGAGAGGAACUGAGGCACCCAGCCUACAGACACCAUCAACUUGCCAGCUGUAUGAGUGAGUUACCUUAGAAACAGAUCCUCCAGUCCCAGUUGAGCCUUCAGAUGACUGUAGCCCCAGCCAACUGCAGCCUCAUGAGAGACCUCAACUGAGACCUGCCUAGUGAUUACACUGACUCCUAAACAUAUCUAGGAAAACCCCUUGAACUCAUCAAUAGACCUUCAGAUUAAUCCACCCCAUGGCUUGUUGGUCCUAUCCUGAAGCUUGACCGUUUCUCCAUUUCCCUAUCUAAUAUCCUUCCUGGAGUCCAUGAGACUAAUGUCCACUACCCAGAGCACAGCUGAGGGCUCCCAAGAGCUGGCAGUGCAGUGGGGAUGAAUAAGGCCAGCGAUCGCACCUUACAUGGCCAUCCCCAAGGCUGCCUGGAAUCCCUGGGAUUACGCAGACUUCUGGAAGAUUUGGAGCAAGUGCACAUCACCUGCUGCCUCCACAAGUGUGCCUGGGUUUCUGCAGCCUCCGUCUUGUGACUGAGGAAUUUUUAAAUGGAAGCUCUGAGCUCACAAAGAAGAAAAUGUCUCCCUGAUGUCACACAGUUGCUGCCAAUUCAUCAGUGCAAGCUAAAGGCCUCCCCCCAGAAGAGAGGAAAUUCCACAGCACUGAUGUGAUGGGAAACGUGAUCUGCACUCUUUCUUUCUCACUCUCCCCGGCCAGUUCCCAAACUGGGUUUCCCUGGUCCCCCUGGAAGCGGCCUUCUCCUCUCCCCUCUCCUCCCUCCUCCCUCUCCCUCUCCAUUUUACACACUGUAACCUGAUAGGCUGGAAAGUCAGCUUCUUUCAUCUUCCAUUUCCCACAUCCUGAAAGUCUGUAGAGAAGGAGCCCACCCAGAUAAAGGAAUUCCAAGUAUGUGCACCCCCUCCCCCUUUAACUCCAUUCACAAAGCAGAUUACUAAUGGCCCGAAGCUCCAGGGAGGCCCUACCCCACUCCCCACCCCUGGCCUCCAAAGAGUUUACUCAUCCACAUCCUUCUCACUGGCACAAAAGCCCAAGUCCACAGGCCCAGAACCAAAAAUUAACUUUUCCCCGGACUCGGAUCCUAGGGAAUGCUUUCAGACUGCACCCCAGUUGGGACUGCAACGGCUACGAGAUUCUGUCUACCAUUCAUCUGUGCCCUCUCAGGCAUUUCGAGAUAAGAGGGCUCAGGGAAAAUGUGUCAUUGGAUCAGGGGAAAAGAUAUAAAUGUAACAUGUGAUGUUUCAAGGAGACACGCUCAUGUCUUUGGGAAAGAUCACAGACUGUUCUAAUCCAGAGACAUUCCUUUGUGACAGAAAUUGUUUUGAGGCCAGAGGAAAAUAUGCUUUAUUUGAGGGGCUAGGCAAAGAUUGGGUGUGUGUGUGGGUGUGUGUGCGUGUCUGUCUUGGGGAGGGAAGUUCUGUUAACAUUUUUGUUAAUACAUUUCUUGAGUUGAAA